AACGUAGGAGGCGAGCGUUAUCCGGAUUUACUGGGCGUAAAGCGCGUGUAGGCGGCUCGACAAGUUGGAUGUGAAAGCUCCUGGCUUAACUGGGAGAGGUCGUUCAAAACUGUCGGGCUAGAGUAUGAGAGAGGGAGGUGGAAUUCCGGGUGUAGUGGUGAAAUGCGUAGAUAUCCGGAGGAACACCAGUGGCGAAAGCGGCCUCCUGGCUCAAAACUGACGCUCAGACGCGAAAGCUAGGGUAGCAAACGGGAUUAGAGACCCCGGUAGUCCUAGCUGUAAACGAUGUGGACUUGGCGUUGGUGGUGUUAAAUCCAUCAGUGCCGGAGCAAACGCGUUAAGUCCACCGCCUGGGGACUACGGCCGCAAGGUUAAA
Molecule: ribosomal RNA, 376 nt
Filed under: uncultured bacterium
Lineage: Bacteria
Description: bacterial SSU rRNA
Rfam family: Bacterial small subunit ribosomal RNA
Source: RNAcentral